GACGCUGGCGGCGUGCCUAACACAUGCAAGUCGAACGGUAACAGGACUUCGGUCGCUGACGAGUGGCGCACGGGUGAGUAACGCGUGGAUAUCUACCUAUGGGUGGGGGACAACUACGGGAAACCGUAGCUAAUACCGCAUACGACCUACGGGUGAAAGCGGGGGACCUUCGGGCCUCGCGCCGAUAGAUGAGUCCGCGUCUGAUUAGCUAGUUGGUAGGGUAAAGGCCUACCAAGGCGAUGAUCAGUAACUGGUUUGAGAGGAUGAUCAGUCACACUGGAACUGAGACACGGUCCAGACUCCUACGGGAGGCAGCAGUGGGGAAUUUUGCACAAUGGGCGCAAGCCUGAUGCAGCGACGCCGCGUGCGGGAAGAAGGCCUUAGGGUUGUAAACCGCUUUCAAUUGGGAAGAAGGGAUGAAGGUUAAUAACUUUCUGACUUGACGGUACCUUUAGAAGAAGCACCGGCUAAUUUCGUGCCAGCAGCCGCGGUAAUACGAAAGGUGCAAGCGUUGUUCGGAUUUACUGGGCGUAAAGAGAUCGUAGGUGGUUUGUUAAGUUGGAUGUGAAAUCCCGGGGCUCAACCUCGGAACUGCAUCCAAAACUGGCAGACUAGAGUUCGGGAGGGGUAAGCGGAAUUCCGUGUGUAGCAGUGAAAUGCGUAGAUAUACGGAGGAACACCAGAGGCGAAGGCGGCUUACUGGACCGAUACUGACACUGAGGAUCGAAAGCGUGGGUAGCAAACAGGAUUAGAUACCCUGGUAGUCCACGCCCUAAACGAUGUCAACUAGUCGUUGCGGGUAUUGACCCCUGCAGUGACGCAGCUAACGCAUUAAGUUGACCGCCUGGGGAGUACGGUCGCAAG
RNAcentral lists this ribosomal RNA (864 nucleotides) under uncultured Zetaproteobacteria bacterium. RNAcentral describes it as "bacterial SSU rRNA". It matches the Rfam family "Bacterial small subunit ribosomal RNA", at positions 32 to 892 of the family's 1533-position model. Lineage: Bacteria; Pseudomonadati; Pseudomonadota; Candidatius Mariprofundia. The record is from RNAcentral.